GACGAACGCUGGCGGCGUGCCUAAUACAUGCAAGUCGAACGCAGUGGGGACGGGUGAGUAACACGUGGGUAACCUCCCAUCAGAGGGGAUAACACUUGGAAACAGGUGCUAAACCGAUAAUGCUGGAUGGACCCGCGGUGCAUUAGCUAGUUGGUGAGGUAAAGGCUCACCAAGGCCACGAUGCAUAGCCGACCUGAGAGGGUGAUCAGACACACUGGGACGGAGACACGGUCCAGACUCCUACGGGAGGCAGCAGGAGGGAAUCUUCGGAAAUGGACGAAAGGCUGACCGAGCAACGCCGCGUGAGUGAAGAAGGUUUUCGGAUCGUAAAACUCUUUUGGUAGGGAAGCGUUACCUAACCAGAAAGCAACGGCUAACUACGUGCCAGCAGCCGCGGUAAUAC
RNAcentral lists this ribosomal RNA (403 nucleotides) under uncultured bacterium. RNAcentral describes it as "partial 16S ribosomal RNA". It matches the Rfam family "Bacterial small subunit ribosomal RNA", at positions 28 to 526 of the family's 1533-position model. The record is from RNAcentral.